Molecule: long non-coding RNA, 620 nt
Organism: Rosa chinensis
Lineage: Eukaryota; Viridiplantae; Streptophyta; Magnoliopsida; Rosales; Rosaceae
Exons: 3
Source: RefSeq, a predicted model, not a curated record
CAUAGUCCUAGGAAGAAAGGCAUAGACUAUUUGUUACUAGGACAAAUUAAAUAUUCUGAUUUGAAAAGCUUAACUGCAGUUUGGUACUAUACAAGUUAUUUUUGCGGUGUCAUUUAGAUUUCGAAAUGAAUUUGCUUAUAAUAGUUGUUUUCUUUAAUGGUCAUUUGACAUGAGAAAAAGCUUAACUUAGCUUUCUAUUUGUUGCCCUUAUGUAUUUGCAGGCUGGUAUCUCUGAGUAUCUUUUUUUUUUUUUGCUGUGAUUGUAGACAUCUUGGAGAUAACUUAGGUAGCCAAUUAGUGUUGCUUUAAGUCCUACUAACACAUCAAUUGUACAAUGGAAAGGAUGUUGACAAGAAGAGGAAGUCAUCAAUGGCAUGUCAGCCACAACCAGACUCUCAGCCACGCACUAUGGGGUAAAAGACAAAUGGCAGAAUGGGAGUUUUUAUGUGAUCAGUUAUUUACGAGGAGAAGAUUAUCAUGUAUAUUAGUUAUUACCUGAUAAAUAGCAUAGCAGCAAACAUUUGAACAUAUAUAUAUUUGCAUUUUUAUAAACUCAUGUUAGCUGGUGUAGUGGAAAAAAAUUGAUAUUAUGCCUUUGUUUAUCACUAGAUUAUCCAUAA